GAUGAACGCUGGCGGCGUGCCUAAUACAUGCAAGUCGAGCGAACGGACGCGUAGGUUGCUUUUCUGAUGUUAGCGGCGGACGGGAGAGUACCGCGUGGAUACCCUCCCUAUAAGACUGGGAUCGCUUCGUUAACCCGGACCUCAUACCGUCUAAUAUUUUGAACCGCAUGGUGCAAAAGUGAAAGACGGUCUUGCUGCCGCUUAUAGAUGGAGCCGCGGCAGAUUAGCUAGUUGGUAAGGUAAAGGCUUACCAAGGCGACGAUGCGUAGCCGGUCUGAGAGGAUGAUCAGCCACACUGGAACUGAGACACGGCCCAGACUCCUACGGGAGGCAGCAGUGGGGAAUCUUGCGCAAUGGGCGAAAGCCUGACGGAGCCACGCCGCGUGAGUGAUGAAGGUCUUCGGGUUGUAAAAUGCUGUUAUUAGGGAAGAAAAGAUGUGUAAGAAACCGGGAGGAUCAUGACGGUACCGAAUGAGAAAGCCACGGCUAACUACGUG
This 497-nucleotide ribosomal RNA is filed under the name uncultured bacterium. RNAcentral's name for it is "partial 16S ribosomal RNA". It matches the Rfam family "Bacterial small subunit ribosomal RNA", at positions 28 to 507 of the family's 1533-position model. The record is from RNAcentral.